GACGAACGCUGGCGGCGUGCUUAACACAUGCAAGUCGAACGGAAAGGCCCUGCUUUUGUGGGGUGCUCGAGUGGCGAACGGGUGAGUAACACGUGAGUAACCUGCCCUUGACUUUGGGAUAACUUCAGGAAACUGGGGCUAAUACCGGAUAGGAGCUCCUGCUGCAUGGUGGGGGUUGGAAAGUUUCGGCGGUUGGGGAUGGACUCGCGGCUUAUCAGCUUGUUGGUGGGGUAGUGGCUUACCAAGGCUUUGACGGGUAGCCGGCCUGAGAGGGUGACCGGCCACAUUGGGACUGAGAUACGGCCCAGACUCCUACGGGGGGCAGCAGUGGGGAAUCUUGCACAAUGGGCGGAAGCCUGAUGCAGCAACGCCGCGUGCGGGAUGACGGCCUUCGGGUUGUAAACCGCUUUCGCCUAUGACGAAGCGUGAGUGACGGUAAUGGGUAAAGAAGCACCGGCUAACUACGUG
RNAcentral lists this ribosomal RNA (468 nucleotides) under uncultured bacterium. Its description in RNAcentral is "partial 16S ribosomal RNA". It matches the Rfam family "Bacterial small subunit ribosomal RNA", at positions 28 to 507 of the family's 1533-position model. The record is from RNAcentral.